UGGUGUAUUCAUAAUGAAGAUUAGAAAUGUGUGCAAAGUGCCUAGAAGAGGGUCCAGCAUUCCAGGGAGGUUCACUGAUAAGAACUUCCAUCCCUUUUGUUUGGUAGCAGAAGAGCGUGCGGCAACCUACUGCUCCAAGUGCAUGAUGGGAACUGGCAGCUCCUCAAUCCAGCGUCAGCCCUGACUAGUGUUAUUUGAAGAAAUCCACAAUUCUUUCUCUACCUUUAAAUAGUGAACCCAGCUCUCUCAACAGAAUCGGUACUGCAUGAGGUUUGGGGUCAUUCUGCCAAGAUACACACCCUUGUUCUGUCAUUUUCUAGCCAUAUAAACUCAGCUGAAGGUAAGUUCUUGGUGUCUCCAUUUGCUGUUCUUUAAAACGGAAAACACAGAGAUACCUAUCCGAAAGGGUUUUGAUGCAACUGAAGAUAAUCAUUCUGCGUGCAGUGCCUAGCUCAGCAAGGAACAUGGUGAGUCUUCAAUACAUAGUAGUAGCUAUU
Molecule: long non-coding RNA, 497 nt
Filed under: Fukomys damarensis (Damara mole-rat)
Lineage: Eukaryota; Metazoa; Chordata; Mammalia; Rodentia; Bathyergidae
Description: lncRNA (ENSFDAG00000025289.1)
Source: RNAcentral